Molecule: transfer RNA, 75 nt
Filed under: Streptomyces flavofungini
Lineage: Bacteria; Bacillati; Actinomycetota; Actinomycetes; Kitasatosporales; Streptomycetaceae
Also listed under: 19 other names
Description: tRNA-Cys
Rfam family: tRNA
About the family: Transfer RNA (tRNA) molecules are approximately 80 nucleotides in length. Their secondary structure includes four short double-helical elements and three loops (D, anti-codon, and T loops).
Source: RNAcentral
GGCCGUGUGCCCGAGUGGCUUAGGGAUUCGCCUGCAAAGCGAAGCACACCGGUUCGAUUCCGGUCACGGCCUCCA